This 316-nucleotide unclassified non-coding RNA is filed under the name uncultured fungus. RNAcentral's name for it is "partial contains 5.8S ribosomal RNA, internal transcribed spacer 2, and large subunit ribosomal RNA". The stretch from base 1 to 52 matches the Rfam family "5.8S ribosomal RNA", at positions 103 to 154 of the family's 154-position model. Lineage: Eukaryota; Fungi. The record is from RNAcentral.
AACGCAUCUUGCGCCCCGUGGCAUUCCGCGGGGCAUGUCUGUUUGAGUGUCGUUUGACCUCUCAACCGCUUUGGUAUUCGAUUACAAAAGUCGGCUUGGAACUUGGGUGCCUCUGGCGAAACGCAAAGGUCUUUGCGGACCUGUCGCCCACCCCAAAGUCAGUUGGGCCAACCGCGCGGAUGAGCGGACGGUUUGACCACAGUGUUGUAAGGUUCGCCUCACUGUCGGGACGUCCAUUUCCGUCGCAUAUAGGCAUUUGAAAUACGAUACUAUUGAUUUUGACCUCAAAUCAGACAGGAUUACCCGCUGAACUUAA